AGCGAACGCUGGCGGCAGGCCUAACACAUGCAGGUCGAACGAACUCUUCGGAGUUAGUGGCGGGCGGGUGAGUAACACGUGGGAACGUGCCUUUAGGUUCGGAAUAACUCAGGGAAACUUGUGCUAAUACCGAAAGUGGCCUUCGGGGGAAAGAUUUAUCGCCUUUAGAGCGGCCCGCGUCUGAUUAGCUAGUUGGUGAGGUAAAGGCUCACCAAGGCGACGAUCAGUAGCUGGCCUGAGAGGAUGAUCAGCCACAUUGGGACUGAGACACGGCCCAAACUCCUACGGGAGGCAGCAGUGGGGAAUCUUGCGCAAUGGGCGAAAGCCUGACGCAGCCAUGCCGCGUGAAUGAUGAAGGUCUUAGGAUUGUAAAAUUCUUUCACCGGGGACGAUAAUGACGGUACCCGGAGAAGAAGCCCCGGCUAACUUCGUGCCAGCCGCCGCCGUAA
Molecule: ribosomal RNA, 449 nt
Filed under: uncultured bacterium
Lineage: Bacteria
Description: partial 16S ribosomal RNA
Rfam family: Bacterial small subunit ribosomal RNA
Source: RNAcentral